AAAACAGCCCUACGGGAGGCAGCAGUAAGGAAUAUUGGUCAAUGGAGGCAACUCUGAACCAGCCAUGCCGCGUGCAGGAAGACGGCCCUAUGGGUUGUAAACUGCUUUUAUACGGGAAUAAACCUCUCUACGUGUAGAGAGUUGAAUGUACUGUAAGAAUAAGGAUCGGCUAACUCCGUGCCAGCAGCCGCGGUAAUACGGAGGAUCCAAGCGUUAUCCGGAUUUAUUGGGUUUAAAGGGUGCGUAGGCGGCCUAUUAAGUCAGGGGUGAAAGACGGUGGCUCAACCAUCGCAGUGCCUUUGAUACUGAUAGGCUUGAUUACACUUGAGGUAGGCGGAAU
This 340-nucleotide ribosomal RNA is filed under the name uncultured bacterium. RNAcentral's name for it is "bacterial SSU rRNA". It matches the Rfam family "Bacterial small subunit ribosomal RNA", at positions 330 to 667 of the family's 1533-position model. The record is from RNAcentral.